This is an RNA transcript of Vitis riparia (riverbank grape), 3976 nucleotides long. It is a transcript of the gene named cyclin-dependent kinase G-2, with no coding region annotated. Lineage: Eukaryota; Viridiplantae; Streptophyta; Magnoliopsida; Vitales; Vitaceae. The record is from RefSeq and is a predicted model, not a curated record. The transcript has 10 exons.
AGCACUCUGAGCGCUCUCGCGUCGUGGCUUUCUCUCUCUAGAAGCAGCCUCGCCGCCCUUUCUCUCUCCUCUCUCAUCGCUUUGCCGCCACGUUUUUCGAUUCGCCGAUCAAUCAACUCGUCGACUUCAUCAUCGAGAGGGCGAGAAAGUGAGAAAGUUCUUUAAUUUUCUGCUGUUUCUAUUUUCGUCUCCGUUUCGAAUCUAGGGUUUCAUUCUUGAUCUCAGAUUGCCUCUGCGGAAACCGAAGAUCGAGGUAUGAUUUUCUAGUAUUCGUCGGUUUUGUGUUUUGUGGUCUAUUCAGAUCUGUGAUUGUUUGGAUUUUAAGGUUUCGUGUUGGUUCCUUUGAAUUUGGGGAAAUUGUUGUGUUGGUUUUGUGAUUUCUAGGGUUAGGGUUUUGAAGGGAGGGGAUUUUUCGGGGGGGACUUUGAUUGGGGGAUUAGGGUUUUCUCUGGUGUUUUGCAUUAAUGGCGGCAGGAAGGCACGGGGGUUAUCGUGAUAAUGAAUUUAAGGAGCGGGAGUCUGAUUUAGAUGUGUCAAGGCGGAAUUUUGCUUAUUCUAAGGACGAGUAUGAUCGGAGUAGGAACGGUAACCGUGAGGGUCGGAUUAGGGAUUCGAGAGAGAGGAAUAGGGUUAGACAGAAGGAUAUUAAGGAGAGGGAAUCAAUAAAUGGUGGAUACCGGUCUUCUUCUAGUAGAAGUGAUUCUGGAAGUAGUGGUGGUGGUGGCAGUGGUGGUGGUGGUGGUGGUGGUGGUGGUGUGCCUAGACGAUGUGUUUUUUCGGUUAGGACUGCUGACCGCGAGCCUGGUGAGUUGUCAAGUGAGAGUGGAUCGGAUGAUGGCAUCGAGUCGGAGUCACAGGCUAAUAAUGAGGUUUCGAAGGUGGAGAAUGGGAUUCGGUCACCUUUGGAUAGGAAGAGGAAGUUUUCACCUAUUGUGUGGGAUAGAGAAGAUAAGGAAUCGAAUAAUUCUUCCAAAAGUAGAAUUGCCUCAACAGCAACUGCCCUUCCUCCUCCCCCUCCACUGCCUAAGACAUACCGCCAGUCACCAAAACUUAUUCAAGAUGAGGGUAUGCGGGUUUCUCCGGCCAAAAAUAGCAAGAUUCAGCGUUCACAACUGCCACCAUCACCAAGCCUCCCUCCGGUGGCACCUUUGUCAGUUACCCUUGAUGUGUCUAGUUCUCCCAUUGAGUUGAACACUUCUUCACCUCAAGAGCAGCAGUGGAGUAAUGAAAAAGAAGCAGACCAAAUUGAAGAUGAAGAUUAUGUUCCCACUCGGAACAUAUCAUCAUCACGAUGGGCAGAUGAAGCCAAUUCCCCAGUUGAUGAGGGUGAAAUUUUGGAUGAUGAGGAAAUUCCUAAGAGGAGGAAGAAAAUGUUUCUUUCUGAGGGCUUGGAGCCCAGGGUACUCAAGAAGUCUGUGAGUCCUGAGCUUGGGGAGCUUAAGAGGGAAGGUUCUGAAGGAGCAAGGGCAAAAUCAACUGACUCUGAUGAAAGAGGCAACCGUGGUAGGUCAGGUACUAGGGAAGAUUACCCAGAUAAUAACUCAGACAGGAAUGACUAUAUGGAAAUUGAGGACUAUCAUAACAAUGAUGCUAGUGCUAGGCAGUCAGAUACAGAUUCUGAGCAUGAAAAUGUUUCUCGGGAGACUCCAGAGCCUGCACUCCCACCACAAAGAAGUGUAAAUAUGCUUCAAGGAUGUAGAAGUGUUGACGAGUUUGAGAGAUUAAAUAAGAUAGAUGAAGGCACUUAUGGUGUUGUGUACAGAGCUAAAGAUAAGAAGACGGGAGAAAUCGUAGCCUUGAAGAAGGUGAAGAUGGAGAAAGAAAGAGAAGGUUUUCCUUUGACUUCACUGAGGGAAAUAAACAUACUUCUUUCCUUUCAUCACCCUUCAAUUGUUGAUGUUAAAGAAGUCGUGGUAGGGAGCAAUCUUGACAGUAUAUUUAUGGUUAUGGAAUACAUGGAGCAUGACCUUAAGGGGCUGAUGGAGACAAUGAAGCAGCCAUUUAGUCAGAGUGAAGUUAAAUGCUUAAUGCUCCAGCUAUUGGAGGGGAUUAAGUAUCUCCAUGAUAACUGGGUUCUUCAUCGGGAUUUGAAGACAUCAAAUCUACUUUUGAAUAAUAGGGGUGAGUUGAAGAUUUGUGAUUUUGGAUUGGCUCGGCAAUACGGGAGCCCUUUGAAACCAUAUACUCAUUUGGUGGUUACUCUAUGGUACAGGGCGCCAGAACUUUUGUUGGGAGCAAAGCAAUACUCAACAGCAAUUGACAUGUGGUCGUUAGGUUGCAUAAUGGCUGAACUGUUAUCAAAGGAACCACUGUUCAAUGGGAAAACUGAACUCGAUCAGAUUGACAAGAUUUUUAGAACCCUUGGCACACCAAGUGAGACAAUUUGGCCUGGGUUUUCCAAAUUGCCUGGAGUCAAGGUUAACUUCGUCAAGCAUCAGUAUAACCUACUGCGUAAGAAAUUUCCUGCCACAUCUUUCACUGGAUCUCCGGUUCUCUCUGACUCUGGAUUUGACUUGUUGAACAAACUUUUAACUUAUGACCCUGAGAAGAGGAUUACAGCUGAAGCUGCUCUUAACCAUGAUUGGUUCCGCGAAGUUCCUCUUCCCAAAUCUAAAGAUUUCAUGCCUACUUUUCCUGCUCAGCAUGCCCAGGACAGGCGCGUGCGAAGAAUAAUGAAGAGUCCAGAUCCUUUAGAAGAGCAGCGUAGAAAGGAGUUGCAGCAAGGGGAAUUAGGAGCUGGUGGUUUGUUUGGCUAAGAGAAACUAGUGGGUGUGCAGUUGCCCCUUCAUGCUUGAGUUUUUCUCAGUACUCAUAAGUGAAAAUGUUAGAGGUGAGAGACACAUGUUGAAUGGAAGUUGCGAACAUUGUUUGUCAGACGAUUAUUCAUGCUGUUUUUUAGCAGGCAUCCCUGAUGAUUUGGGUGGAGAAAUGCAUUUUUUUCCUCCUCCCACAAAACCAGAUCCACAGGUUAACUUUGUUCCCCAGACUUGGUCAGCACAUAGAAAUGCAUCUGUGGCAACUGCUUGCAUCACAAGAGACGGUUGGUGUAAAGCGGAGGGGAGUUCUUUGCUUUUCAUUUGACGAAGAAAUUGACAGUAACCGUAGUACUUUGAAGUAUCAAAGCAAAAGCUAGUUGAGGAAAUUUUCUGUUGUUCAGGAAUUGCUUUGUAACUUCAGGCUCAAUUGAGGAAUAUGGCUGGAAGAAUGUGUUGCUUUGCAAAUGAAAAUUGUUAUGAAGCACCUGCAUGAUCCGGUUUAUUUAACUAUAACAUGUCGAAGGAAUUCAGGAAGAAGAAAAAAUACGAGACAUAAAUUGCACAAGCUUUUUAUCAAAAGAGUAGUCAUGCAGGCACUCUCUGACUUGACCAGAGGCCUUCUUCCUUUGUGGGUAUGCGGUAGACAAAUCUUGGAAGCUGAGCUUUUGACAUGGAUUUUAUAGCUGGAGAGGAGGGAGGCUGUUGAUUCUAUUGCAGUUCAAGUUUUACGGAGCCAAUCUGCCCCAUGUUGCCUUGUGCUCCGUGACAUCCAGUGAACUCGCGUGCUGCUUGUUUUUCCAGUGUCUUUCUGUUUGUUUGUUUGGGUAUUUAUUUAUUUAUUUAUUUACUUUUUUUAUUUUAUUUUGAUGAUUUGAUGAUAUUGGGGGCCAUCAGGUGGGAAUACAAUCAGAUUGCCAGCCUCUCCAGCCUCUCCAGCCAUCCAAAUUCAAUUCAGACUUUUGGGAAGGUAGCAAGCGUGAGAUUAAAAUCGCCUAGUCAUUUUAUUUAGGGUUGAAGGGGCAAAAUUGUACAGGCAUACUAAUGUUGGACGUUCCUGGUUCUUAACAAAAACAUCACUUGUACAUAUUAAGUCGGGGCAUUUGUGGUACUUGCUGUUAUCCGCGUCCAAGCAGGACAGCAGCUAACUGGGAGGCGAGGCUUUCACAUAUUAACUCGUAAAAAUAAAAAAUGCGGAGAGGUGAAGGUGGUGCCUUUUGUUC